RNAcentral lists this ribosomal RNA (254 nucleotides) under uncultured bacterium. RNAcentral's name for it is "partial 16S ribosomal RNA". It matches the Rfam family "Bacterial small subunit ribosomal RNA", at positions 524 to 776 of the family's 1533-position model. The record is from RNAcentral.
UACGGGGGGAGCAAGCGUUGUUCGGAUUUACUGGGCGUAAAGGGCGCGUAGGCGGCCACUGCAAGUCAGUUGUGAAAUCUCCGGGCUUAACCCGGAAAGGUCAACUGAUACUGCAGGGCUAGAGUGCAGAAGGGGCAACUGGAAUUCUCGGUGUAGCGGUGAAAUGCGUAGAUAUCGAGAGGAACACCUGUGGCGAAGGCGACUCUCUGGGCUGUAACUGACGCUGAGGCGCGAAAGCGUGGGGAGCAAACAGG